UGACACGCUUCAUUUAUCAUUAAAUGCUUUUGUGUAUAUUAUUACAACAAAGUUCCUUUCCAGUGGAAGAAACGUGAGCUUUGUGCUGUUUCAAGUCGUGAUGACCCGUGGUGAAAUGUCAUCGGCUUGGGCCAGGAGUUGACGUGUGUGCCUGGGUGCAGAGCAACCAAAAGCAGGUCCCAUCCACACAUCGUAACGGAGGAUUGAUUUUUGCUCACCUGCCCUUCUGCGCUGCCUCCUGCGGCUGGACAACUGGACGUCCAGGAGCAGAGAGUCUGACAGCUGCACAGCGAGGUGCAGGAGAGCUUACUGGCACAGCAGAGAGCACGUAGCUAAAUUCAGCAGCUGCAGAUGGACCUAGAUGGCAUAGAGGAGCAAGCAGAUGUGUUCUGCACACAGCUGCUGGUGAAGAAUGUAGAGCUGCAGAAGCCGUAGAGGAAGAUUGAAGAGCUGCAGGGGCGAGGGAGGCAGCUGGGGGAGGAGAACCGUGCCCUACAGCACCAUCUGAGCUUUGUCAGAGAGGAGCUGCACGGUGCCACGCUUCAGCUCUGUCAGAGGCAAGAAGAAACGGAGAAGCUGAGGGAUGAGGACAGGCGGCUCGAGGACAAGGCGGAGCGCAGUAGUGCGGAGUCAAGCCGCUGGCGGCGGGAGGCUCAGAGGGCGACCGUGGAGUGAGAAGAGGAGCCACGAAGCUGGACACAGCACGGCACACGGCCACGCGGGAACCGAAGCCGCGCGAUGCGGAGCCGGAGGAGGCCCGGCACGCUCGUGACGUGGCCCUGGCCGACCUGCGCCUCCGCAAGGGCGACGCCCGGAGGCUGGCUUUCGAGAAGCAGGGCCUGCAGGAGUUUCUGAAGCGCCUCCAGGCCGAGGUGAGGGGGGUCGGCAUUGGGGGGGGACACGGUCGGGACCCGUCACGGCAGGUCAUGGGGAUGUAAUUAAGUUUUCAAUAUGAAUGUGCAAUCAGUUUCUCUCCAGGAAAUUGCUUUUUUUAAGCAGCUUGAAUUAAAAUGCAUAUGAGCUCAGUGUUUUCAAUUAACAUUUUGUGCUUAGGAGGCAGAUUAAUAGUAUUCACUGAUGGGCUUUGGAAGAAAUUAGCCUGCUUUUAACCUAAGAGGAGGUCUGCCUAUUUGCUCUCUGCAUCUUGGAAAUGUGUGGUGAGAAUGGAAUCCACAUCUUGGGGAAUAAAAGUCUAGCAGCUCUUCCGGAUAUAUAUUUA
Molecule: long non-coding RNA, 1219 nt
Filed under: Scleropages formosus (Asian bonytongue)
Lineage: Eukaryota; Metazoa; Chordata; Actinopteri; Osteoglossiformes; Osteoglossidae
Description: lncRNA (ENSSFOG00015029653.1)
Source: RNAcentral